Molecule: long non-coding RNA, 553 nt
Organism: Cyprinus carpio (common carp)
Lineage: Eukaryota; Metazoa; Chordata; Actinopteri; Cypriniformes; Cyprinidae
Exons: 2
Source: RefSeq, a predicted model, not a curated record
GUUUUCCGUAAUUUCACCUGGAGAGGAGAGGAAAAGGAAAAAUAUUAAAGGUUUGGCUGCCUGGGGGCUCGUGGCAAUCUUUGAUCCAGUAGGGAAAGGCAACAAGAAUAGCAUAGCUUUGCAUUUGGUCUUCCUAUUGACAUGGACUUUUGAUUGGAUCAUCAAAGCCACACUGGCAGAAUUAUCAAAUUCAAAUAACUGAAUAAUGUAAUGACACAUGAUUCAAUCAUAUUUCAUGAAAUGUUUUUUUUUUUUUUUAAUUAUUAUUUGCAACUUACAAAACCUCUUUCUUUCACCAAAGUGAUUCGGUGUCUAAUAAUUUACAAAUCAUUGUAGCAUAUAAAGUGACCAAAAUAAUUUGUUUUCAUGAAUCAGCUGGCUUUUGUAUUACACACCCCCCCCCCAUCCCAUCAACAAUGUCCUAUUGGUCAGCCAAAGAAUGCAGUGAACAUUGACAGUCAUUUUGAAGAGCAAAUUAUGAGUUAGCAUUUGGCCCUUUCUUUUUGCCAAAUGUUGGGACAACAUUUACAAAGCGCCGAUUGUACUGAAUUCU